This 309-nucleotide long non-coding RNA is filed under the name Sorghum bicolor (sorghum). Its description in RNAcentral is "long non-coding RNA (SBIC_LNC013685)". Lineage: Eukaryota; Viridiplantae; Streptophyta; Magnoliopsida; Poales; Poaceae. The record is from RNAcentral.
GUCCCCGUGGUUGUCGUCGAGCCAGAGGGCUAUGUAGAAAGAAAAAAGACAAUUUAAUACAAGAUAUUAUUUCGAAUUAUAUCUGUAAAAACAAAGGAGACUGCCAUAUUACAGACCUGCUGGCCAGCAUUGUCUUGCUCACUCGGGUCCACCAAAUACUGUUAGCAGUCAUCGAUUCCCUCAGGGUUCUCAUCGCCUUCGCGAUCAUCGUGAUAAACUUGUUCAGUGGGACCGCAGAUCAGGUUCAUCAUUUCCUCUUCGUGUUCUCUCGGAUCGGCCAUUUUCUGCAGAAAUAUGUGACACAUCACU